CCUGAUGACCAUAGCAAGUCGGUCCCACCCCUUCCCAUCCCGAACAGGACCGUGAAACGACUUUGC
RNAcentral lists this ribosomal RNA (66 nucleotides) under Oxalobacteraceae sp. CFBP 8763. Lineage: Bacteria; Pseudomonadati; Pseudomonadota; Betaproteobacteria; Burkholderiales; Oxalobacteraceae. The record is from RNAcentral.